RNAcentral lists this microRNA (22 nucleotides) under Panagrellus redivivus. Its description in RNAcentral is "prd-miR-7877-3p". The record is from miRBase by way of RNAcentral. Lineage: Eukaryota; Metazoa; Nematoda; Chromadorea; Rhabditida; Panagrolaimidae.
UUACCAUGUAAAUCAACCCAUC